AUUGAACGCUGGCGGCAUGCCUUACACAUGCAAGUCGAACGGCAGCGCGGGCUUCUGCCUGGCGGCGUGUGGCCAACGGGUGAGUAAUUCACCGGAACGUGCCCAGCAGUUGGGGCUAGCCCAGCGAAAGCCGGCUUAAUACCGCAUACGACCUUAUGUUGAACGCCGUGGAUCGAAAGUCCACGCGCUACUUGAUCGGCCGUAGCCGUAGUAGCUAGUUGGUGAGGUAAAGGGUUACCAAGGCGACGAUCCGUAGCCGACCUGCGAGGGUGACCGGCCACACUGGAACUGAGACACGGCCCAGACUCCUACGGGAGGCAGCAGUAGGGAAUCUUGCGCAAUGGGCGAAAGCCUGACGGAGCAACGCCGCGUGAGUGAUGAAGGUCUUCGGAUCGUAAAACUCUGUUAUUAGGGAAGAACAUAUGUGUAAGUAACUGUGCACAGCUUGACGGUACCUAAUAAGAAAGCCACGGCUAACUACGUG
RNAcentral lists this ribosomal RNA (484 nucleotides) under uncultured bacterium. Its description in RNAcentral is "partial 16S ribosomal RNA". It matches the Rfam family "Bacterial small subunit ribosomal RNA", at positions 30 to 507 of the family's 1533-position model. The record is from RNAcentral.